UACGUAGGGUGCAAGCGUUAAUCGGAAUUACUGGGCGUAAAGCGUGCGCAGGCGGCUUUACAAGACAGAUGUGAAAUCCCCGGGCUUAACCUGGGAACUGCAUUUGUGACUGCAUGGCUGGAGUGCGGCAGAGGGGGAUGGAAUUCCGCGUGUAGCAGUGAAAUGCGUAGAUAUGCGGAGGAACACCGAUGGCGAAGGCAAUCCCCUGGGCCUGCACUGACGCUCAUGCACGAAAGCGUGGGGAGCAAACAGG
This 253-nucleotide ribosomal RNA is filed under the name uncultured bacterium. RNAcentral describes it as "partial 16S ribosomal RNA". It matches the Rfam family "Bacterial small subunit ribosomal RNA", at positions 524 to 776 of the family's 1533-position model. The record is from RNAcentral.